RNAcentral lists this ribosomal RNA (656 nucleotides) under uncultured bacterium. Its description in RNAcentral is "bacterial SSU rRNA". It matches the Rfam family "Bacterial small subunit ribosomal RNA", at positions 9 to 667 of the family's 1533-position model. The record is from RNAcentral.
GAGUUUGAUCCUGGCUCAGGAUGAACGCUGGCGGCGUGCCUAACACAUGCAAGUCGAGCGAAGCGCGCCCCGGAAUCCUUCGGGAGGAAGGGUCGCGACUGAGCGGCGGACGGGUGAGUAACGCGUGGGCAACCUGCCCCAUACAGGGGGACAACGGCCGGAAACGGCCGCUAAUACCGCAUGAUUCCUCUUGGCCGCAUGGCCGGGAGGGGAAAGCCGAGACGGUAUGGGAUGGACCCGCGUCUGAUUAGCUGGUUGGCGAGGUAACGGCUCACCAAGGCGACGAUCAGUAGCCGGCCUGAGAGGGCGACCGGCCACAUUGGGACUGAGACACGGCCCAAACUCCUACGGGAGGCAGCAGUGGGGAAUAUUGCACAAUGGGGGAAACCCUGAUGCAGCGACGCCGCGUGAAGGACGAAGUAUUUCGGUACGUAAACUUCUAUCAGCAGGGAAGAAAAUGACGGUACCUGACCAAGAAGCCCCGGCUAACUACGUGCCAGCAGCCGCGGUAAUACGUAGGGGGCAAGCGUUAUCCGGAUUUACUGGGUGUAAAGGGAGCGUAGACGGCCAUGCAAGUCUGAUGUGAAAACCCGGGGCUCAACCCCGGGACUGCAUUGGAAACUGUGCGGCUGGAGUGUCGGAGAGGCAAGUGGAAU